UAAGAAAAAUCUUUUAUGAUGCUUGAUUUGAAUAUUUAUUGAAAUUGAAUUUGGUAUGUGGAUUAUAUAUAAAGUGGUAUAUUAGGAUGAAUGCAUAUUUGGAGAUAUUGCAAAGAAGUCUAUUUCUUAUUGGUAAAAUUGAUUUUGAGAUUGUAGGAUAUUCAUCGUAUUGGAAGCUUUAAUCAUCAUCCUUGGAUCUAAAUAAUAGAUCUUAUUAUGUCUCUUGGAGACUACAUGAUG
This 240-nucleotide long non-coding RNA is filed under the name Elaeis guineensis (African oil palm). RNAcentral describes it as "long non-coding RNA (EGUI_LNC055244)". Lineage: Eukaryota; Viridiplantae; Streptophyta; Magnoliopsida; Arecales; Arecaceae. The record is from RNAcentral.